AGGGAAAGAUGUGAUUGGGCAUUUCAUAGUACAACAUGCAAGUUCACUGAAGGUAUUUUUCACUUGUUUUAGAUCUUCACAUGCUUGCUACUCAACUCAGCCUUAGUCUUGAACCUGUUGGGAUUGCUACAUUAAUUACUUUUGGAUUUAACAUAUGCAUGAAUUGUGUAAUUCUCUAAGCAUCAUUUUAUGCUUUGAAUUCAUCAGAAGACAUUUUUUUUUAAUUGCUUUGCAGCGAAGGAGAAAACCUCUAAAAUCUGGUCUCUGGACUGGUAGUUCAGCUAUGAUUGGCAAG
Molecule: unclassified non-coding RNA, 295 nt
Filed under: Hevea brasiliensis (rubber tree)
Lineage: Eukaryota; Viridiplantae; Streptophyta; Magnoliopsida; Malpighiales; Euphorbiaceae
Source: RNAcentral